RNAcentral lists this ribosomal RNA (495 nucleotides) under uncultured bacterium. RNAcentral describes it as "SSU rRNA". It matches the Rfam family "Bacterial small subunit ribosomal RNA", at positions 26 to 521 of the family's 1533-position model. The record is from RNAcentral.
AGGACGAACGCUGGCGGCGUGCUUAACACAUGCAAGUGGAGCGACGAACCGGGGCUUGCCCCGGGGCAGAGCCGCGAACGGGUGAGUAACACGUGGGUCACCUGCCUCAAUGACCGGGACAACCCGAGGAAACUCGGGCUAAUACCGGAUGUGCCCGCAAGGGGAAAGGAAGCUUCGGCCUCCGCAUUGAGAUGGGCCCGCGGCCCAUUAGCUUGUUGGUGAGGUAACGGCUCACCAAGGCUUCGAUGGGUAGCUGGUCUGAGAGGACGAUCAGCCACACUGGGACUGAGACACGGCCCAGACUCCUACGGGAGGCAGCAGUGGGGAAUCUUGCGCAAUGCGCGAAAGCGUGACGCAGCAACGCCGCGUGGGGGAAGAAGGCUUUCGGGUUGUAAACCCCUUUCAGUUGGGACGAAGCUUCUCCGGUGAAUAGCCGGAUGGAGUGACGGUACCUUCACAAGAAGCACCGGCUAACUACGCGCCAGCAGCCGCGGU